AGAACGAACGCUGGCGGCAUGCCUAACACAUGCAAGUCGAACGUGAUCCAGGCUUCGGCCUGGUGAAAGUGGCAGACGGGUGAGUAACGCGUGGGAACCUGCCCUGUGGUAGGGAAUAACCGUGGGAAACUGCGGCUAAUACCCUAUGAGUCCUUCGGGAGAAAGAUUUAUCGCCAUAGGAGGGCCCGCGUCGGAUUAGGUAGUUGGUGGGGUAACGGCCUACCAAGCCUUCGAUCCGUAGCU
Molecule: ribosomal RNA, 243 nt
Filed under: uncultured bacterium
Lineage: Bacteria
Description: partial small subunit ribosomal RNA
Rfam family: Bacterial small subunit ribosomal RNA
Source: RNAcentral